GUAUGAAGUCUUGUCCAUUAUCUGAAGCUUAUGUAUGUAUAUUUUGGCCCGUUUUACAGGUUUUAGUACUUUUCCCUGUGCUCUUCUGAGUAGGCCUGGUAAUGGUCUAGGAUCCAAACCAUUACCAACCCAAGCCACAGCGCCAGACUUUAUGGCACCAAACUAAUCCAGUCCAAAAAUCAAGCUUUGGGAUCCAAACCAAUCCAAACCACAUCCCUUAUCAAACCAAACCAAACCACGAAAUGGUUUCAAACCAACUUCCAAACCCGUUUCAAACCCACAAGAGAACCAAAGAUCAGCUGUGCUGCAUACUUCGGCGACCUCAAAGGUGGAGGCAGUGAAGAGAACCUGCGCCAUGAAGGAGACGACGGGGUGGAGUCCGACGUGCGCACAGCGGUCCUCGUCGAUGCAGAAGCACGCCGACUUGGGGGGCUCGCGGACGCUGGACCAGGGCCUCGUGGCCGACCUCCACCUCCUCCCGGAGAAGCUCCCGGAGCCCACCAGGUCGCCGCCCUCCGCGCCUGAGGCAGAACCGGCGGCGUGGCGCGCGAAGAAGUCGCAGAUCCGUGAAGGACAGCCGUCGGAACAUGGCCACCGCCGCACGCUAUCUGCUACGGCUGCGGCGUCGCAAACCAGCUGGAGUGGCGGCAGCAUCUGUACCUAGCGCUAGCUGACUGGGAAAAGGGCUUCUCCCUCUACAAGCUCAGCCUGGACGACCUCCUCUUAGCCGAGCUCGAUGCCGGAGACGACGAGCAGCGCCGGCUCCCAGAUCCGAUCCUCCGUAUGGGCUUCCGCACUGUGGGCUCGAACCCGAAUUUCCAUGCCCUGGGCAGCGAAUUGAGCGGCAGCGGCAGCGGAGGCGGCGGCGGCGGCGGCGGCGGCGAAGCCCUGACCAAACCGAGCCGGUGGAGCUGUGCGUCGAGCAGUCCUUCCCGCGCGCGGCGCAUCCACUUCGGCGCCGUGGCCGAUCCGUGAAGGACAGCUGCUUCUCUGGCCUUUACCCACGGGUUAAGCCCAGGUGGUAUCCACGGGGUGAGCCCAUAGGAAACCAAACUGAUUGAAUCCAAACCAAAUCGUACCGCACCGUUUUUCCUUUAAAAUCAAACCAAACCGAUCCAUUAGCAAGGUCAACCCAUUUCCAUCUAGCCAAAGACGAUCCAAUUAAGGACCCAAACCAUUAAAACCAUUUAGAUCCAAUCCGUUACCAGGCCUACUUCUGAGUGGACCCACGGCAUUUUAUUAUACUAUUAGUAAUUUCCUUGCUGAGUUACAUUGAGAUGUUACCACAAGUUUCCUUUGAUUUUGUAGAGACACAACUAAUUUAAUCUAUUAUGUUAUCUUGGC
RNAcentral lists this long non-coding RNA (1344 nucleotides) under Brachypodium distachyon (stiff brome). RNAcentral's name for it is "long non-coding RNA (BDIS_LNC002323)". Lineage: Eukaryota; Viridiplantae; Streptophyta; Magnoliopsida; Poales; Poaceae. The record is from RNAcentral.